GACGAACGCUGGCGGCGUGCUUAACACAUGCAAGUCGAACGGAAAGGCCCUGCUUUUGUGGGGUGCUCGAGUGGCGAACGGGUGAGUAACACGUGAGUAACCUGCCCUUGACUUUGGGAUAACUUCAGGAAACUGGGGCUAAUACCGGAUAGGAGCUCCUGCUGCAUGGUGGGGGUUGGAAAGUUUCGGCGGUUGGGGAUGGACUCGCGGCUUAUCAGCUUGUUGGUGGGGUAGUGGCUUACCAAGGCUUUGACGGGUAGCCGGCCUGAGAGGGUGACCGGCCACAAUGGGACUGAGAUACGGACCAGACUCCUACGGGAGGCAGCAGUGGGGAAUAUUGCACAAUGGGCGGAAGCCUGAGACAGCGACGCCGCGUGCGGGAUGACGGCCUGCGGGUUGUAAACAGCUUUCGCCUGUGACGAAGCGGGAGUGACGGUAAUGGGUAAAGAAGCACCGGCUAACUACGUG
RNAcentral lists this ribosomal RNA (468 nucleotides) under uncultured bacterium. RNAcentral's name for it is "partial 16S ribosomal RNA". It matches the Rfam family "Bacterial small subunit ribosomal RNA", at positions 28 to 507 of the family's 1533-position model. The record is from RNAcentral.